RNAcentral lists this small RNA (63 nucleotides) under Caenorhabditis elegans. Its description in RNAcentral is "Unclassified non-coding RNA F56B3.15". The record is from RNAcentral. Lineage: Eukaryota; Metazoa; Nematoda; Chromadorea; Rhabditida; Rhabditidae.
UCGGUGUUUGCGUACUUUCGGAGCUACAGUAACCCGGAAACCUCAAAAUCCAAGCUAGAAACU